Long non-coding RNA from Spea bombifrons (plains spadefoot toad), 330 nucleotides. RefSeq lists it as uncharacterized. The transcript has 3 exons. Lineage: Eukaryota; Metazoa; Chordata; Amphibia; Anura; Pelobatidae. The record is from RefSeq and is a predicted model, not a curated record.
AUAAGUGCUUGACUUGGAUCUGUACAUUAUGGAAACCUUUACUGCCAGUCCAGAUCUAGACACCUUGCUUGCUGUACCCAGGGAGGUACCAGCCACAUCAUGCUGUCAAGGUCCAGGAGAUGCAGACGGAAAUUUACGUUCCAUUUUUGAUCUUGACCAACCAUGAUAUUGCCUCUUGGCAACAGAGGGGGAUCAGAUGUCUGAGAGGCUCACGAAGCAACUAAAUCACAGAGAAGUGAAUGGCUGACAUCUGUAGAAAGGAAUCAUGGGAAAUCCGGCUGCAGCAGUUGACCAAAAUACUUGGACCAGGACAGUUCCCCUUUAAGGUAA